UGAACGCUGGCGGCGUGCCUAAUACAUGCAAGUCGAGCGACCAGACGAGGAGCUUGCUCCUCUGACGUUAGCGGCGGACGGGUGAGUAACACGUGGAUAACCUACCUAUAAGACUGGGAUAACUUCGGGAAACCGGAGCUAAUACCGGAUAAUAUAUUGAACCGCAUGGUUCCAUAGUGAAAGACGGUUUUGCUGUCACUUAUAGAUGGAUCCGCGCCGCAUUAGCUAGUUGGUAAGGUAACGGCUUACCAAGGCAACGAUGCGUAGCCGACCUGAGAGGGUGAUCGGCCACACUGGAACUGAGACACGGUCCAGACUCCUACGGGAGGCAGCAGUAGGGAAUCUUCCGCAAUGGGCGAAAGCCUGACGGAGCAACGCCGCGUGAGUGAUGAAGGUCUUCGGAUCGUAAAACUCUGUUAUUAGGGAAGAACAAAUGUGUAAGUAACUAUGCACGUCUUGACGGUACCUAAUCAGAAAGCCACGGCUAACUACGUG
This 495-nucleotide ribosomal RNA is filed under the name uncultured bacterium. Its description in RNAcentral is "partial 16S ribosomal RNA". It matches the Rfam family "Bacterial small subunit ribosomal RNA", at positions 30 to 507 of the family's 1533-position model. The record is from RNAcentral.